CAUCAGUUCGGGUUUGCACACACGCUCCCAGAAGACACCCGUUAACCCCGCUCUAGCCCUGUGGGUCAGCUCUGCAUCGCUGCCUCCUGCUCUGCGCAAGGGUCCCCAUCUCAGCCCCCAGCAGAGAGCGCGGAGGGGAUGAAUGUCAAUCUGCAUCCUUGGGUCUCGUUGCUGGUCAGGUAAUUCAGCCUCUGAUGUGCAACUUGAUUGAGGAGCGCAGCGUUGAAAAAAUAAAAACCAAUCACCCUGUCCAUCAAGAUUGUCCCUCCGGCAACAGUUCCAGGAAUCGAGACACUCUUCUGCGUGGUACCGGCGGUCCAGGUGAAGAGGUGGGCUGGAGGGUGAUAUUCAAGUCCAGGAAAGGAACCAAACACAGCUCCUGGGAGGAAGAGCUCACGUUCUCCAGAGCUGGAGGCCUCUCACUUCUCCAUGUACCUUCCAAAGCCUAUUCCUCACCGUCAGCGUGUAUGGGCACCAAGAGCAAAGCGGACCCCAUGACCAGCUCCUCCACUGUACUACCUAACUGCAGCCAAACACGGAUGGACAAAAUCUAGACUCCUUCUCAACCUAAUCGGUUGGCAACUGGAUUCAGGCACCCUCCUGGGAUGACACAGACUUUAAUAUAGAUGCUCCAGGCACAGCAUUUGGCAGCCUGCUCUCCCAAGAUAACCCCAGCAGCUGCGAUCCGGUCAGGAGAAGAUCACAACGCAGCACAGCAAAAAAUAAGGAACUAAAAGCUAUUUGCUAGAUAGGCCAGAAGGCUAAGGUUCCGAGGCUCCAUGUUGGGAAAAAGCCACCAGCAGAAAGCACGGAGGGAGCAGAGUGUGGCGCUGAGACUCCACUAGCUUUGCUGCUGGAAAGAACCACCGCGUCCCGCAUCUUUCAUCGGUACUGUUUGGUUCUUCCCCACCUUUUGUACAGCAGACAGUGACAAAUGCUCCCCCUCCAGGUACGGAUCCGAUCUGCUCUGGGCCUUCCUCUUCUGCAGACGUGUCAGGGCUAGCUUUUUCUCCGUCUCAGGACCCAGCCUGAAGGUACACCGCGGGAGUGGGAGUGGGUGUGUGAAAGAGGCAAACCGCUGUGGGCAACCAAAGCAAAGGCAGCGACAAGCCACGACAGCAAGCACAGAGCACGCGGAGCUGUGGUGGGGAGGGAACGGAGCAGAGCCCCGGCCAGCACGGCGCCAGGCAGGGACGCAUGGUGUCACCCAUGUCACGCUGCUGAGUGGCGAGAGCUGAGCUCUCUGCAUGGCUUAGAGACAGACUGCCAGCUCCAUCCACCCUCCGCCUUCGCUCCCCGAUUUCUGCGGCCCAGAUGAUAUUUCCUUUCUGCCAAGGGACAAUACUCAUUAGUAGCUGCCGAGCACUCAGAUAUCCUGCUGAUCAGAGGCUUUGGUUUCCCCGUGGUUUCUCUCAAAGGGUAAGCUGUGUAACUUUGUCUUUCACUUUUCCAAAGACUCACAUCAAAAAAGAUGUGAGUAAAAGGGGAUUCUACUUAUACGCAAUUUUUUGACAGCUGUUCGUAAAACCAAGUUGCGAGGUUUUAAGUAUUUGAUAAAACCAAAGCAGCCUGCGCAUCUCCAACUUGACUGAACACAAUCAGAAGGCUGUAAAAAUAAAAAUACAAGUGUUCUCAUGCUGUUUCAAACCGCAGUAGUUCCGCAGUCACUUAAUUCCCAUGGAGGCAGAGUUAUUGGAUUUUCAAUAUAGAAGUAGCACUGGCAGUUUCUGAUCUUUGAAGUUUAUGGAUGGGAUUGGGGCAGGAAGCAAAUAAGAAAUGCAUCAUAAACUAAACUGAAUUUCAGAUUCAUGGAUGUGUGCAAACAAAUUCCCUCAUCGCAAAUCUUGCCUGUUUUAUGCCGGAGUUCAGCUUUACUUGGUACACUCUGAGAGGUGAGCACUAGCUAGCUGAAUAGUCUCUCCGCCAGCAAUGACAAGUGUCUCUCCAUGAGCAAAGUGUGUCCAGUGACCCAUAAACCAGUACGGAAGGCGUUCAAUGCUGCCAGUUGCAACCCCACUUAUUGCUCACGUUCAAUGCUCGGGUCUUUCCUGGAGCUAAGUAAGCUGCGUGUUUGGUGUGGAUAAAUCUUCACAAAGAUCCAAGGUAUUUGUGUUCCCAUGGGCAAUAUCAAAGAACUGGUCCUGAAGUGAGAGACCACAAGCACCCUUCUCAGCUGGCCAGCCCCAGAGACAGGGCUGGGAGGACUGGAAGAGGAGUAAUGGCAGCACAGUGUGGGAAGUGCCUGCGCAGCCAUCACUCAGGGCUCUGGCUCUUUGCCUCUGUCAGAUGUGACAUCUGAAGAGGGAAGCGUCCUCCUAACUGGGCAGGGACAGAGUGCAGAGCCCUUAUCCUGUAGGUUGGGAACUUCAGGCUUCACUGAUUGCUCUGGAGAGGGAAUAUUUCCCC
Molecule: long non-coding RNA, 2406 nt
Organism: Chroicocephalus ridibundus (black-headed gull)
Lineage: Eukaryota; Metazoa; Chordata; Aves; Charadriiformes; Laridae
Exons: 5
Source: RefSeq, a predicted model, not a curated record